ACGACAACGCCUUUCUCAGCCGUUCUUCCUAUUUCGCUUCCCUGUGUGGCCGUUACCGUCGCCACCGGCCAAUGCUCACUCCUACUGCCCUCAACGCCCUCAAAUCCUCAAGGUCAAUAUCUUGGUCGCCGACGGGUAAGUUCCAGCAAACCUUGGCGGGAUGUCUGGAGCUGAGUGGGAUAUCUCUGCAUUCAGGGAAGGUUUCGAAAGUGAAGUUAUGUCCGGAAUUUGCAGGCAGAGGGAGGUAUUUUGAUUUCAAGUCCAAAUUCAUUCCUGCCUCGAUCGAUUAUGCGGAAGAGUCGUCUCUUUGUACGACGCUCUCUAAGGAUGGGUUUAAAAUUCGAACUGUUGAGCAUUUGCUUUCUGCCCUGGAGGCCAUGGGGGUUGACAAUUGUAGGAUUGAGAUUGCGAAUGAAGACGCUAAAGACAGUGAAGUCGAGGUUCCAAUUUUUGAUGGAUCUGCGUGUAAAUGGGUGGAUGCAAUAGAGGAGGUUGGUCUUAAGUUGGCUAUAGACCAGCGUGGCAACUGCUGUGAAAAAAUGGCACCAUAUGUAAAUCAACCUGUCUAUGCGUGGAGGAAUGACUGUUAUCUUGUUGCUUUUCCAGCCUCAAAAGUUCGUAUUACUUAUGGAAUUGACUUUCCUCAGGUGCCUAGCAUUGGCUGCCAAUGGUUUUCUACUGCUCCUUUGGACAAUACAUUCUAUGCCGAGCAAAUAGCUCCAUCAAGAACCUUUUGCAUUUACGAGGAGGUAGAGCAAAUGCGUAAUAUGGGGCUCAUAAGAGGAGGCUCAAUAGAAAAUGCUUUAGUGUGCAGUGUCAGUAAAGGUUGGAUCAAUCCCCCAUUGCGUUUCCAUGAUGAACCUUGUCGCCACAAGGUUUUAGAUUUCAUUGGUGAUAUCUCACUUUUUGCACGGUUAGGCAGUCAAGGGCUUCCGGUGGCACACAUGGUGGUUUACAAGGUAAGUUCUUUGUGAUUUACCUCUCUAGUAUGUGGUUAUUACAUAUAGGAUUACACUACCAAUCAGAUGAUAAGAAUUCUUAGGAGCACAAUCUGAACUUGCUUUGUCUUUUUAUUACGUGGAUACCUUUUAUUUAUUCCUCAAGCAUGUUGUUUCCUGCAUUAUAAGAGCCAGGUAUCUUUUGAUGAUUAUUAACAGUUGAAAGACUCUUCUUGAUUAGCUCUUCUGGAGGGGGUAAUCUCAACCCUCCCUUGUCGUCAGAUUCUUUUUGGUUUCUCUUGAUCCAUACACAUCUCUGUUUCUUACAAAUAUGUGUGUGUUUGUAUAAGGGAAAGGUAUAUUAUCAGUCUCCUUGCUCUAUUAUGUCUUUCUUUGUCCCUUGCCCUUUUUGUAUAUAUUUGUAUAUAUUGAUGACGAACCCUGGUAUUUAGUUUCUCUUGGUGCAUCACAUGAUAGGAAUUUAUGAAUUUGGCGAUCAAAUAUAUUCUAUUGUUUCUUUAUUUCUCUAAUAAGUUCUUGCCUUGUUGUGAUAUGUUAAUGUCAUGCCCUCAAUUAACAUACUUCCAUUUUGCUACUAUGCCAUUUCACUUUGUUUCCAGAAGCUGCAUCAAAUCUAAAAAGUGCUUUAUUUGAGGGUGUGCCAUGACUUUCUCAUUUGAACCUUUAGUUCCCAUAGCAAAUCCUUGUCUUAGUUAUUUGAAUGUUGUUUUUGUGACUGGUGGACAUAUAGACGGAGGUUAUGUAAAUGUGAGCAUUGCUUUUUUUGAACUACUUGAAUUUUUCUGCUGAAAGUUUGAGAGGGAUUUGGUGGUGUUCUUUGUUAGGGAGAACUGUUAAAACGAUUGUAUUUGAGCAGAUUGUAUAGAGGGUUGAGAGUUUUAAUUGAUGUGUCAUUUGGGGAAAUAUUAUGGACACUAUAAAAGGUUGGAUCAAAUCGGAAAUAUCAGUUCAAGAAAAUGUGUCCAAAUUUCUGACGUAAUCGACUAGGGGGGGGCAAAUUGGUCGGCUGACAUUGUUUUGGGCUCAAACCAAUGCUCAUCCCUGACGUGUCAAUUUUGGUCAAUUGGAGUCCUGAAACUUUCUAACCUUUGUACAAAUUGACCAUUCUCGGUCAGUUGGUUUUGAUCGGAUUUUGGUGGAUGCUAGAGAAAGAGUAGAUUAUCAUAGUUGUGUGGCUAAAAAUGUCGAGAUGCAGCUAUAGGAGAGAGUAUAAACCAAAGAACAUAUUAUUUUGUCUUCUUUCUUGUCAUUAGGAAGUUUUUAAUCUUCAUUUUGCUCAAGAAGAAAGAGCAGUGGAGCAUAGUGUUAAUUCUAAAGGUUUUUUCCCUUGGUUAAUCUUGCUACUCAAAGAUUCAUACAAAGAAAGGUAGUUAUGUUAACCAAUAAAGAGGGAAUGAGCCUGAUGAGUUGGCCAAUUCCUAUUUAGGUCGUCUUUUUACCAAGGGUGGUCAUUCUAUGCAUGCCAAUUUUGUUCGCCGCCUAUUGGAAAACAUUUGAGUAGACAAGUAGCUGUCUUUGCUUGCAGAAGUGUAAAAAUAUUCUGCAAUUGAGGCAAUUAAGUCUUUGAAAUUUCUCCUCCGGUUGCUUGGCAGAUGAAACAUUCUGCUGUAAUUUGGGAAAAUAGUUGUGUAAAAUCUAUAAGAACGAUCAACGGGUAGGAUUCUUCACAAUUGCAGUAAUUUCAUAUACUAGAUCGUAUGUUGUAGGAAGUUUUUGUAUUCUUUUAAGCCACAAAUCCAAAUGAGUGAAAAUUGAUUUAGGUUUUCAUCUUAAUAUUGUUUUCUAGUAAAUCCUUAACAGGAUAGAUGAAUAACUACUUGGCUUUUAUCUUCUAGUAUAAAAUUUGCCUAAAUGGAACGAAUAGAUAGAAAAAAUUGGAUGAGAUCAUACGUCUGUAUGGUAUAAAUUACUCACCCUGCUGAUGGUUUAAUCUGUGUACGAAGAGUUGGCUGAUCCAGUGGCAGCCUAUGUGGUUGACCCUACACUUAGUAAUUUUUCACAUUUCUUGAAACUGUUGGACAUGCAUUGGAUUCGUAAGCUAAAUACAUACGCCUUGCAUUAAUUUGCAACAUCAUCCCUCUCCAACCUCAUGAUUUGGGAAGGAUUUUCAACUCUCAGACAAGGAAUGGUGCACUGGAGUUUAUGAGUUGCUGUUUUAUUGAAACCAGUUCUUUGCUCUUUGUUGGUCAUAAUAAUCUAAUGUGGUACUCAUACAGUCAUUAAGUGUAGAGGUUGCAGUAUCUCAGAUCUUGCUGAUAUGCUUGAUUCAGGAACUCUCUGAAGGUGUCCACAACUUCCUUAAUUUAUUCUUAACUCGAUUGUGUGCUCAUCGAGGAGGAUGAUAUCGCCAUGUGAAGAAAGGUACACUUCAAUAAUUGUUUUUUUUUUUUUUUAAUUUUAUUUUUAAUGAUAAUGUUAUUGAUGAUUUAUUAGACUGAGUCAAUACAAAUGGUCAGAAAAUAACAUGGUUAAAUUUUUACGGCUUGGGCUCUUUUAGGUGAUAGAUUCUAAACUUCCCUCCAGGUUAUUAGUGUAGAUGCAAAUUGUAUCUCUGUAUUGUAGGUUGUCUCUGAUAAGGAUUCAUGGUCCUCUAUAUUGAAUUUGAACAUCCACUCUGGGAGUUUUCUUGAACUCUGUUAAUCAUGGCCAUACGGAUUAAAAUCGACAAGUGAUGUUAAAUAUUCUUCGACUUC
RNA transcript from Cucurbita maxima (winter squash), 3652 nucleotides. It is a transcript of the gene named probable UDP-3-O-acyl-N-acetylglucosamine deacetylase 2, mitochondrial, with no coding region annotated. The transcript is spliced from 7 exons. NCBI's taxonomy places the organism in Eukaryota, Viridiplantae, Streptophyta, Magnoliopsida, Cucurbitales, Cucurbitaceae. The record is from RefSeq and is a predicted model, not a curated record.